This 482-nucleotide ribosomal RNA is filed under the name uncultured bacterium. Its description in RNAcentral is "bacterial SSU rRNA". It matches the Rfam family "Bacterial small subunit ribosomal RNA", at positions 20 to 518 of the family's 1533-position model. The record is from RNAcentral.
UGGCUCAGGACGAACGCUGGCGGCGUGCCUAACACAUGCAAGUCGAGCGAGGAGAUUCCUUCGGGAUGAUCCUAGCGGCGGACGGGUGAGUAACACGUGGGCAACCUGCCUCAUAGAGAGGAAUAGCCUUCCGAAAGGGAGAUUAAUACCUCAUAACAUUGCAGUUUCGCAUGGAACAGCAAUUAAAGGAGCAAUCCGCUAUGAGAUGGGCCCGCGGCGCAUUAGCUAGUUGGUGAGGUAACGGCUCACCAAGGCGACGAUGCGUAGCCGACCUGAGAGGGUGAUCGGCCACAUUGGGACUGAGACACGGCCCAGACUCCUACGGGAGGCAGCAGUGGGGAAUAUUGCACAAUGGGGGAAACCCUGAUGCAAGCAACGCCGCGUGAGUGAUGACGGCCUUCGGGUUGUAAAGCUCUGUCUUCAGGGACGAUAAUGACGGUACCUGAGGAGGAAGCCACGGCUAACUACGUGCCAGCAGCGGC